AAGGAGGGGGUUUGUCUGCGUGCAGAGCAAGAGCUGGAGGAGCUUAACCCCUUGCAAGCCCUCCGCAGUCAGCGCUGCCCAGGAAAGGACUCAGGGAACAAACUCCUGACGUCCUGGGCUUGGGAUCAUCUCAGCCCAGGCCCUGCAGCUCUGACUCUGCCAAUGUGCAACCUGAAUCUCAGGGAGACCGUGGUGAUUCCUGCCAUCUCAACCCACCGUCCUCACCCCGAGGUGGUCCUGCAGCCAGAGUGGGAUGUUCGGGGCAGCAUGGAGGUGUGAACCUGGCGGAUCAGGCAACCUCCAGAUGUCAGCUCCAGCGUGCCCUCCUUGGGGACUCCCCAUUUGGAACUAUAUUUCAUAUGUGAUUAUUUGAUUAACAUCUGUCUCUUCACUCAGUUGGGAGCUCUGUGAGGCUCUCAUCAUCAUAUCCCCAGGACCCAGCACACAGGCCCUGAUAUACAAUAGAAAUACAAUAAAUAUAUCCUGGAUGAUCCACUCAACCUAGCUACUUGCCCAAGCCUGACUCAUAGCCCUCAUAACAACCCAAUGAGGCUGAUGUGACAACCCCAUUUCACAGUUGGGUAAACAGAGGCCCCUAGAGCCCAAGCAGCUUGCCCAAGGUCACAAAGGUGAUGAGCUGCAGUAGAGUUUCAAACACACAAAGACCUGGCUUCUAAUAACCAAGCUUGGUGCUCACAACAUUGCAGCCCGCAGAGAUAAUUAAUACCUGUGCACAAUAAAAUCGAGAGUGGAGCUUCUUACCAACUAAUUGCAAUUCACAAAGCCAAUGUUCCAAUUUUAUAGUGAGGCCCUGGUUCCACACAGAGCCUUUUGGUUUCCCAAAAUGCUUUCUUCUCCUUUAUAGCACUAGAUGCUCAAGAACAGAACGUUUAAGUGGGGAGAACACGAGUAUUAUUCCAUUGUAUAGGUGAGGACACUGAGGCCCAGAGAAGAGAAGAGAAGAGAUUCGU
This 971-nucleotide long non-coding RNA is filed under the name Homo sapiens (human). RNAcentral's name for it is "HSALNT0354494". The record is from RNAcentral. Lineage: Eukaryota; Metazoa; Chordata; Mammalia; Primates; Hominidae.